AUGCACGCUGGCGGCGUGCUUCACACAUGCAAGUCGCACGAUGACCCCGUGCUUGCACGGGUGAUUAGUGGCGAACGGGUGAGUAACACGUGAGUAACCUGCCCCCGACUUUGGGAUAAGCCCGGGAAACUGGGUCUAAUACCGGAUAUGACUUCUUACCGCAUGGUGGGUUGUUGAAAGAUUUAUCGGUGGGGGAUGGACUCGCGGCCUAUCAGCUUGUUGGUGAGGUAAUGGCUCACCAAGGCGACGACGGGUAGCCGGCCUGAGAGGGUGACCGGCCACACUGGGACUGAGACACGGCCCAGACUCCUACGGGAGGCAGCAGUGGGGAAUAUUGCACAAUGGGCGAAAGCCUGAUGCAGCGACGCCGCGUGAGGGAUGACGGCCUUCGGGUUGUAAACCUCUUUCAGUAGGGAAGAAGCGAAAGUGACGGUACCUGCAGAAGAAGCGCCGGCUAACUACGUG
Molecule: ribosomal RNA, 465 nt
Filed under: uncultured bacterium
Lineage: Bacteria
Description: partial 16S ribosomal RNA
Rfam family: Bacterial small subunit ribosomal RNA
Source: RNAcentral